Gossypium arboreum is the source of this 106-nucleotide non-coding RNA. Lineage: Eukaryota; Viridiplantae; Streptophyta; Magnoliopsida; Malvales; Malvaceae. The record is from Rfam.
AGUCUGUGAUGUUGGCAUUUUCUUAACAUUCUCUUAAAACGCUCCCAUGCCUCAUAUAGAUAUUAACCUUCAAAUUGUUUAAAAUUUGCGAUUUCUUACCUAAAUU